CGUGAGGAACCUGCCUCAAAGAGGGGGACAACAGUUGGAAACGACUGCUAAUACCGCAUAAGCCCACGGCUCGGCAUCGAGCAGAGGGAAAAGGAGCAAUCCGCUUUGAGAUGGCCUCGCGUCCGAUUAGCUAGUUGGUGAGGUAACGGCCCACCAAGGCGACGAUCGGUAGCCGGACUGAGAGGUUGAACGGCCACAUUGGGACUGAGACACGGCCCAGACUCCUACGGGAGGCAGCAGUGGGGAAUAUUGCACAAUGGGGGAAACCCUGAUGCAGCGACGCCGCGUGGAGGAAGAAGGUCUUCGGAUUGUAAACUCCUGUUGUUGGGGAAGAUAAUGACGGUACCCAACAAGGAAGUGACGGCUAACUACGUGCCA
RNAcentral lists this ribosomal RNA (378 nucleotides) under uncultured bacterium. RNAcentral describes it as "bacterial SSU rRNA". It matches the Rfam family "Bacterial small subunit ribosomal RNA", at positions 116 to 510 of the family's 1533-position model. The record is from RNAcentral.